CACGCCGGCGCCUUCCUUUGGGCGCUCGGGGUCGGCGGCGCGCGGGGGCAAAUGGAGUGGGUGCUGGCGGAUGCGCUGCUCUCGCAGAGCCGGGACCCCCGGGUCCUGCUUGGGGCGCUGUGCCGCGGGGAGGCGUCCGCGGAGCGCGUGGAGACGCUGCGCUUUCUCCUGCAGCGGCUGGAGGACGAGGAGGCGCGCGGCGGCGGCGCGGGCGCGCUCCCAGAGGCGGUGCGCGAGGUCGCCGCCGGGUACCUGGUGCCGCUGCUGCGGGGCCUGGGCGGGCGCCCGGCGGGCGGCACGGACCCCGGCCCCCCGGGCCGCCAGCGCCAGCGCGUGCUGAGGGCGGCGGGCGCGGCCCUGCGCUCGUGCGCCCGCCUCGCCGGGGGCCCGCAGCUGGCGGCCGCGCUGGCCGAGGAGGCGCUGCGCGACCUGCUGGCCUCGGGGCCCGCCGAGGCGGCCGUGGAGGUGCUGGCGGCCGUGGGGCCUUGCUUGCGGCCCCGCGAGGACGGGCCGCUGCUGGAGCGGGUGGCGCGCACCGCCCUCGCCCUGGCGCUGGGCGGGGACGAGGCGGGGCCCGCCGGGGACGCGGCGGCGCUGGCGGCCGGGCGGCUGCUGCCGGCGCUGGGCCGUGGCGGCGGGGCGGCGCUGCGGGCCGUGUGGGGCGGGCUGGUCGCGCCCGGGGCGCCCGCGGGGCCGGGCCGCGUCGGGCCGCGGCUGCUGGUGCUGAGCGCCCUGGCCGAGAAGCUGCUGCCCGAGCCCGGCGCGGAGCGCGCCCCUGCGGCGCGCGAAGCGGGCCCGGACGCCCGGCGCUGCGGGCGCUUCUGGAGGACUGUGCAGGCGGGGCUGGCCCCGGCCGAGGACGCCCUGACGCGCAAGCGGGCGCGCUACCUGCUGCAGCGGGCGGUGGAGGUGUCGGCGGAGCUGGGGGCCGACUGCGCGUGCGCCCCCUUGGAAGGCCCCGGCCCAAGUCUGUUUUGGUGGUCUGAGAAGAAAAAAGAUGAGCUUCUAAAGUUUUGGGAAAACUAUAUUUUAAUUAUGGAAACUCUUGAAGGAAAUCAGAUACAUGUUAUAAAGCCAGUUUUACCAAAGCUAAACAGUCUAUUUGAAUAUGCAGUAUCAGAGGAAAAUGGGUGUUGGCUCUUUCACCCAUCCUGGCAUCUUUGUAUUUAUAAAAGAAUGUUUGAAAGUGAAAAUAAAAUCCUGACCAAAGAAGGCGUGACCCACUUUUUGGAGCUGUAUGAAACAAGGGUUCUUCCAUUUUCACCAGAAUUUUCUGAGUUUAUUAUUGGACCAUUAAUGGAAGCACUUUCAGAGAGCUCUCUGUACAGCAGGUCCCCAGGCCAGCUGAUGGGAAGUGGUUCUCCUUUGGGAUUGAAAUUACAGAAGUUUUUAGUCACUUACAUUUCUCUUCUUCCAGAAGAAAUAAAAAGUAGUUUCCUGUUAAAAUUUAUUCAGAAGAUGACAAGCAGACAUUGGUGUGCUAUUCCUAUUUUGUUUCUAUCCAAGGCUUUGGCAAAUAUCCCAAGAUGUAAAGCCCUGGGUGUAGAAGGGCUUCUUGCCCUCAGGGACGUUCUUCAGUGCACCAUAGUCACACACCAGACCCUGCUGAGAGGCGCGGCACAGUGCUGUCUCCUCCAGGCGGCCAUGAAUCUGGUGGACGUGGAGAAAGUGUCACUCUCUGAUGUCUCAGCUUUUCUCAUGUCAAUGAGACAAGAGGAGUCCUUAGGACGAGGGACUUCAUUGUGGACAGAGCUCUGUGAUUGGUUGCGUGUUAAUGAAACCUGCUUUAGGCGAUCCUCAGCUUGUAGCUCCAUUGGACUUCACAAGACGUCCUCUUUAAAUGCUUAUGUAAAGAACCUGGUCCAAGAGUAUGUUACGUCACCUGCCUGGGAAGGAGGAAAAAACUGCCGCAUGCCUGAUUGGUUUGAAGCCAAACUUGUUGCUAUGAUGGUCUUGCUGGCCAUAGAUGUGGAGGGAAUGAAGAGUCAAUAUAGUGAAAAGCGGAGGACACAGAAUGUGUUAAGGAUAUUCUUAGAUCCUCUCCUGGAUGCCCUUGUGAAGUGUGGUACAAAUGCCUACAUGCCCUUGCUGAAAACUGACAGAUGCCUGCAGUUGCUGUUGAAGUUACUGCACACUUGCUUGUUGAGAGGUUCCGGUACCCAAGAUGAUGAGGUGUUUACUCUUCUUCAGAACUUCGUCAUGUCUACUACAGAGAGCAUUUCCGAAUUUAUUCUCAGAAGACUUACUAUGAAUGAACUAAGUAGUGUUUCAGAUCUGGAUCGUUGCCAUUUGUACCUGAUGGUGUUGACUGAACUUAUAGAUCUCCACUUGAAGGUUGGGUGGAAAAGAGGCAACCCUAUUUGGAGAGUUAUUUCUCCUUUGAAAAAUGCAUCCAUUCGGCAUCUUCAAGAGAUGGACCGUGGACAGGAGCCCACACUGGGUGGACAGAUUCAGAGAAUCGUUAGUAUGGCUGCCUUGGCCAUGGUGUGCCAGGCCAUUGACCAGAAGCCGGAGCUACAGCAGAACUCUCUGGAUGUGGGACCCAUGGAAAGAUUCCUCUCCUCUCUCCAGCUCAAUCAGACGCUGCAGAAGCCCCACGCAGAGGAGGGCAGCAGUUUUUUUGAAGAAUCAUCAUCUUCCCAAGGAUGGGGGAAAAUAGUUGCACAGUAUAUUCAUGACCAGUGGGUCUGCGUCUCUUUCUUGUUGAAAAAAUACCACACCCUUAUACCAGCCUCAGAGGGUGAAAUUCUGGAACCCAUUCUACCUGCUGUUCAAAUGCCCAUAAGAACUUUGCAGUCUGCACUAGAGGCCCUCACAAUUCUUCCUUCUGAUCAAGUUUUACCUGUGUUCCGUUGCAUGAAAAUUUUGGUUCCCAAGCUUCUGACCUCCUCGGAAUCACUCUGCAUGGAGUCUUUUGACAUGGCGUGGAAAAUCACAGCUUCUUUAAGCGACACUCAGCUGAUAUUCUGGUCUAAUUUAAAAGCUUUCGUUGAGUUUGUUUUUGAUCCCAAAGUCCUUACCAUUGCUGCAAAAAUCAAGGGCCAGGCAUAUUUCAAAAUAAAAGAGAUUAUGUACAGGAUAAUUGAAAUGUCUGCUAUAAAAACUGGAGUCUUCAAUAUACUGAUAAGUUAUUGCUGCAAAUCUUGGAUAGUUUCUGCUUCAAAUGUGUCUUUAUCUAGUGCUAAAAAUUACAGUGAACUUGUCCUUGAGGCGUGUAUAUUUGGAACAGUGUUUCGGCGUGAUCAAAGACUUAUUCAGGAUGUACAGACCUUCAUAGAAAAUCUUGGACGUGAGUGUGCAGCGAACGUUGUUAUUGAAAAUACUAAAAGAGAGGACCAUUACGUGAGAAUUUGUGCCAUCAAAUUCCUGUGUUUAUUAGAUGGCUCAAAUAUAUCUCAUAAGUUGUUUAUGGAAGAUCUUGCAAUCAAGCUAUUAGAUAAAGAUGAAUUGGUGUCCAAGUCAAGAACGCGAUACUAUGUGAAUUCUCAACAGCACAGGGUGAAAAACCGAAUAUGGCAGACUCUGCUCGUACUCUUCCCCAGGUUCGAUCAGAAUUUCUUGAAUAGAAUUAUUGACAAGAUUUUCCAGGCUGGCUUCAUCAAUAAUCAGGCGUCCAUAAAGUAUUUUAUAGAAUGGAUUAUUAUUCUAAUUCUUCAUAAAUUCCCUCAAUUUCUUCCAAAGUUCUGGGACUGUUUUUCUUACGGUGAAGAAAACCUUAAAACAAGCAUUUGUACUUUUUUAUCAGUUGUGUCACACUUGGACAUCAUUACUGAAAAUAUUCCGGAAAAGAAACUAAUUCUGAAGCAAGCCCUUAUUAUCGUGCUGCACUGGUGUUUCAAUCACAAUUUUAGCAUUCGACUGUAUGCCCUAGUUGCUCUUAAGAAAAUCUGGAGCAUGUGUAAGACAUUGCACAUUGAAGAACUUGAUGCUUUGACUUCUGUUAUUGAAUCCAGUCUGAAUCAAGUGGAAAUCACGCAUGGAGCAGGGCAUAUUUGAGAUGUUUCUCUUCAGUGCAGCCAAAUGUCAUCAUCCUCUGUUGUCAAAGAACUGCUGAGAGGCAGCGUGACCUGACUUCAAAGUCAUGCUCGUAACUCCUCAGAUGUCCGGGUUAAAGCUGGAAGCUCUUUCCUUUUUCUUAAAUGAAUUUUUUUUUAAGCUAAGUUAUUUAUUUUAUUUAUUGGCUGUGUUGGGUCUUCGUUGCUGUGCGCGGGCUUUCUCUAGUUGUGGAGAGUGGGGGCUACUCUUCAUUGUUGUGCGUGGGCUUCUCAGUGCUGUGGCUUCUCUUGUUGCAGAGCACGGGCUCUAGGCACACAGGCUUCAGUAGUUGUGGCACAUGGGCUCAGUAGUUGUGGCACAUGGGCUCAAUAGUUGUGGCUCACGGGCUCAGUAGUUAUGGCUUGCAGGCUCUAGAGAGCAGGCUCAGUAGUUGUGGCACACGUGCUUAGUUGCUCCACAGCAUGUGGGAUCUUCCCAGACCAGGAAUCAAACCUGUGUCCCCUGCAUUGGCAGGUGGAUUCUUAACCAGUGCACCACCAGGGAAGUCCCCUUUUUCUUUUCUAAGAGAACUUCUUUAUUCCCAAACAAAGUCCUACUCAGAUGCUCAAUAUCAAAGGCUGCUGUGGAUGGAAUAGGGCAGGGUGCAGGCCUUAGAGCAAAACCCAGGCAGAUGGGAGCUCAGGACAUCCAGGCAGUUGUCCUUUGAAGAUACUCUUGAAAGCUCAGGGAUAAAGAUGACAGGUGUGUAAGGAGGUCUCCUAUUCUCACCCCACUGAUGCUGAGGCCCGGACUGCAGUGACCGGAGGGGCUGGGAGCUCAGGGUGAAGAAGGUGCGUUGGCCGGAGCCAGAGAAUGAGCUUGCCAGGAAGCCGUCUUGAAAUCGCUGCUUGGCUUUUGGGUUGUUCAUCAUGAAUUUGAACUGAAACCUGCCAGUGGUGCCACACUUUGUAAUUUCUAUUCCUGCCUCUUUUACCUUCUAAAACUUGACAAAUUGGGGGGUUUUGUUGUUUGUGUGUGUUCAAGUAUUUAAAACCUGUUACUUGCAUUUGGCUUAUGAAAGCUGGUACAGUUUGGCGGCGUGUUGUGAAUCUUCAGAGUAGAAACAGUGACUUAUGGGGACUUCCCUGGCAGUCCCGAGGUUAGGACUCUGCGCUUCCUCUGCAGGGGCCUCGGGUUUGAUCCCUGGUCAGGGAACUAAGAUUCCACACGCCCCGUGGCACAGCCAAAAAAAAAAAAGUCAUUUAUGACCAGAGAGAGAGAGACGUAAGGAUCCCAGCCUAGAUUUCUUACACGGUUCCCUUUUAGAAUUCUUUUUGCCCAAGCACGUGAGUAGUUCCCGUGGCAGCUGUCCAUGUGCGAUUUUCCCAUCGCUGUCUGUUGAAAACCGUGUCUUUGAUGGAGUGGAGACCUGAGUUUCAUUCUUAUUGAAUCAUUGUUUGUUGUAGGACAAACAGUGUGAAAGAGUUAUUUGUCUUUGAGUUUCAUUUCAAAAGGUCAAAUUUAGGGUCAGCUUUUAAAGGAUGUCGAUCUUAGAAAUAGGGGUGUAUAAAUCUUGGGAUAAAAUUCACAAGAUUUUCCAUUCAUUCUAAAUUCUGCAGUACCUCUUCAAGAGAUCUAACUGGUCUUCCCCCUACCACUUGUCUGUACCUCAUACGUAUUUUUAACCCUUAGGAACGCAAAGAAGAAUUGGCAACGCAUCCAGGAGCAUUUCUUUUUUGCAACAUUUCACCCACUUAAGGAUUACUGUCUGGAGACCAUAUUUUACAUCCUUCCACGCCUUUCCGGCCUUGUCGAGGACGAGUGGAUUGCCAUUGGUAAAU
Hippopotamus amphibius kiboko is the source of this 5816-nucleotide RNA transcript. It is a transcript of the gene named TAR (HIV-1) RNA binding protein 1, with no coding region annotated. The record is from RefSeq and is a predicted model, not a curated record. Lineage: Eukaryota; Metazoa; Chordata; Mammalia; Artiodactyla; Hippopotamidae. The transcript is spliced from 26 exons.